This 1099-nucleotide long non-coding RNA is filed under the name Homo sapiens (human). RNAcentral's name for it is "HSALNT0078705". The record is from RNAcentral. Lineage: Eukaryota; Metazoa; Chordata; Mammalia; Primates; Hominidae.
GGAGAGUGAUCUAACCUGGCUCCCCAGUCAAGGAGUCUAACCAAAUGCUGGAGUUGAAGGUACAGAGCCAAAGUGAGGGGUAGGUGCAGAAACCAAAACACCAGGGUGAUCAUAUAUUGAAAAUAAGUACAACGAAAGGGGCAGAGACUGUGUGCCUUUUUUAUGGCCCCUCAACUAUCCUAUUUUAAUUCUGGCUUGGAAAAGAACUCAUUCCUUGGAUGGUUACACAGGGGUGUCAUUGAGAUCUGGUAUCAACCCAGGCCAUGGAGCUGAAUGGAGAAGAAAUGCCUUCCAUCCCUUCCAACCAUUUGGCUUCUCCAGUCCCUCACCUCAAGCAAACCUCAUCAAGGUUUUCCGAUUUCCAGACCCAGGUCCUGAGCAACUAUGUAAAUGCAAACAAACACUGGUGAUGACUGUAAGGUGGGUGCAAUAUACAAACAGCGUGUGAAGCUGAAAUGCCUGUUUAUGUGUGGAUGCACUCAUUUACUCAAUGAAUAUUUAAUUUAACAAGUAUAUUGAACUACCUACAUGUGUAGAGUGGAAUCAAGAAACAAUAUUACUUGGCUUAUAAAGUAACUUUCAAUUCUACUUUUUCUGGGGUAAUCCUUUCUUUCCCCAAAUUAUAUCUCAGAAAGUUCCCAUAGCCUUUUCCAUUUUUUUUCUGGUAUUAACAGUGGCAUUAUUAGAUAUUAAAUAAUUAAUUUAAUUUAAUGAUUAAAUAAUUCUAUUCCAAUCAAAAUUAAAACUUCAAUCUCUCAGUAAGUUUAAAUCUUCUCUUCAUCCCUCUCCAGCUCUCGCCUCUCAGCCUUAGAAACCUAUGGGGGAAAAGGAGGGUAUAGGUUCUGUCCUUGGCCCUUCUUAUUCUAUAUGCCCUGUACUCUCCUUUUAUAACAGGGAACAAGUAUAAAGGAAAAGAGAAUAUGAGUUUUUUUUUCUUUUCUUUACAACAACAUUUUUAUAAAUAUAUCUUCUUAUUUUAGAGCAGUUCUAGAUAGUCAGAAUAAUUGUUAAGAUAGUAAAGAGAGUUCCCAUAUAUCCCAUGGCCAGUUUCUAGUCUUAUCAACAUAUUUCAUUCAUAUGGCUCAUAUGUUAUAAUUAG